AGGAAUCUCCACAAUGGACGCAAGUCUGAUGGAGCAACGCCGCGUGAGUGAAGAAGGUUUUCGGACCGUAAAGCUCUGUUGUUGGUGAAGAAGGAUAGAGGUAGUAACUGGCCUUUAUUUGACGGUAAUCAACCAGAAAGUCACGGCUAACUACGUGCCAGCAGCCGCGGUAAUCGUAGGUGGCAAGCGUUGUCCGGAUUUAUUGGGCGUAAAGCGAGCGCAGGCGGAAGAAUAAGUCUGAUGUGAAAGCCCUCGGCUUAACCGAGGAAUUGCAUCGGAAACUGUUUUCUUGAGUGCAGAAGAGGAGAGUAGAACUCCAUGUGUAGCGGUGGAAUGCGUAGAUAUAUGGAAGAAUACCAGUGGCGAAGGCGGCUCUCUGGUCUGCAAACUGACGCUGAGGCUCGAAAGCAUGGGUAGCGAACAGGAUUAGAUACCCUGGUAGUCCAUGCCGUAAACGAUGAGUGCUAAGUGUUGGG
RNAcentral lists this ribosomal RNA (476 nucleotides) under uncultured bacterium. RNAcentral describes it as "partial 16S ribosomal RNA". It matches the Rfam family "Bacterial small subunit ribosomal RNA", at positions 357 to 827 of the family's 1533-position model. The record is from RNAcentral.